Molecule: long non-coding RNA, 3873 nt
Organism: Grus americana (Whooping crane)
Lineage: Eukaryota; Metazoa; Chordata; Aves; Gruiformes; Gruidae
Exons: 2
Source: RefSeq, a predicted model, not a curated record
AAACCCUGUAACAAAAUCUCAUUUGUGGCAGCUCCCAGCUGUGGGGCAUGAGGAAUUGAAGAGGUGAAGGAUGGAAUGGAGGAAAAAGUGUUAUUUUCAGACCCAUCAGAAUAUUGCCAAGUUUUCUGGUGACAUAAAAUACGGAAAGAAGUAGAAGAAUCACUUGAAUCUGAAGACCUUGGUGAAUUUGUUUUCAUAGUAAUAGUAAAGUAAUAAUAGUUUUCAUUUUAAACACAUUUAAAUUAAGCAGUUGGACUUCUAAGUAUAAAUUUUGCAAUGAGUUUGUUGUUAGUUUCUUAAAAUUUCCCCUGGUACAUUGUCAUGCAACUAAUAGAGUAAUUAUAGAUUUUUCCUACAGUGAAUGCUGUGUUAUCCAUUGCAAAAUAUUGUGCUAUUGCAGUAUGAAAUAUGACUAGAAAAUUACUUUUUCUGCAAAAUUAAGCUUACAUCUUAAAAUUUCAGCAGGGGGCAACUGUUUUAUAAAUAAGCUGUAGCCAGUUUUUAAUAUUUAGUUCUCACUGCAAUAAUGGCAUGAAUCUAACUGACAAAACAUUGACUCCCUGCUGCCAUCAUGUAUUCUUACUUCAGCUUCCCUGACAGAAGCAGCACAGGGGAUUGACAUUUCAUAAGGGAUAAAAAGAGUUGAAUGUUCACAAGCUAGUACUGAUUUGAAUAGUUUCUAAUUUACUAUCCUUCGUCCUAAGACUCUCAGAAAGAUGCAAGCAAAAAUGUACCUGAAGUUAGACCAAUUGAGUUUAAUUUCUAAUUAUAAUAUUCUCUCAACAUGCACAUGUGCACAGUGGACCAUUUGAACCUUGUAUAAAAUAAAUUUCAUACAACAAUUAACUAAUUAAAUAUGAAAUGAAGUAAUGGAUGAGACUAGAAUUGGGUUUUCCUGCUACUUGUUGAAUACUUUACCAGUAUGCCAUACUGCAACAAAGAAGUUUCAAAUAGACUCCUUAAAGUUCGUAGGGACUCAGUACAAAAUAUGACCUGGUCCUUCAGCCUCUCAUAAUUAAUUCAGACUUGGUCUUUCAAAGAUCGUAGAGUGAAUAUAACAUUGUCGGCCUGUGAUAGUUUCUACGUGAAGAGGAGGAUGCACACAAACCCUCUAGCAUUUUUUUAAGGAAUAGCGUUGCAUGUGUUUGUAGCGACUAGUGGCUUGUGUUCAUGUAGUCUAUUUGCCUUAAAAGCUGAAUAAGGCUCUUGGCAGGUCAACAUUGGCCAAAUGGGCUUCCCCAGACCGUGAAUGUGCAGAAUUUCACUGAAGACAGCAUUCUGCUGCUAUAUUGGUGAUCCAUUCUGGUCACAGCAGCUUCCACAUUGCACAAAGUGUCUCUCCAGGGACACUGCCACACACUGGCUUCCGUAAGCGAAAAGUUGAGAAGAAAUCAGCUGUUUUCAUGUUUGCCACAGGAUGUACUCCGUGCAGCAUGAAGGGCUGAUAAUUUGGUCUUCAAUUUCUUUUUUUAUUAUUUCAAAAUUACUGAUGAACAAGUUACCCCAGCUGAACCUGAGCUGCAAAGACUUUCUUUAGUCAAAACAAGCAGACUUUCCCUUGUACAGUAGUUGUUCAUUUUUACUCCAACAUUGAUGAAUGAGUGACAGGUAUUAUAGGUCUAUUUUUUACAUUGCACAGGAUGAUUCUGGCACUGGGCACUUCAGUUUCUGCCAUUAAAUAAUGUGCACAGAAAUAUUUUGAAUCUCAAAUGAAAUCACAGAAGAGAGUAGUGAUACAUUAGGUAUGUGGCCUACCUGAAGGCUCCUCAGCUCAGAAAUAAGCACAGUUAUUCAGCCUUUCUGUCUUGGGGACCAUCUACCCCAUGGCUAUUUGACCUGUGUUGCAAAACAGGAAUUAAAACAGCUGCCUGGGCAAAACCUCCUUUGAGAGCCAAAGAUUAACUGCAAUAUCAGUGAGUGAAAAUUGCAUUUAUAAGACUGAAAUUUGGAAAUCUUGGAUGGGUUAACUGUUUUAUUUCAAACAAGGCAGAUUUCUCUAACAAAACUGUGACCUCGUACUAUUUGCUAUUUACAUGAUCUGUACCAUUGACCUUUCAUUUCAAUAUAAAUAGCACUCAAACCUGCAAUACAAUCAGAAAUCAGUUUAUGAGGUAGAAAAUCUCUUUAAAUGAUAACUAGAGGGCAGGUUAUAGUUCAUCAGGGUUUAUAGUACUACCUGGAAGCUGGCUACUGAGAGAAAUUAGGUAGAUAAAACAUAUCAUUGCAAGCUAUAGGAUCAUUGCAUAACAGCGAGAAAACAGUGUCUUAAUGCAUAUCUGUUUGCAAAAGUGAAGACAGACAAAACCCCCCGGUAUCAUAUUUCUAGAGUCACUUUAAAUGAAUAGUGAAACUGGCAUGAACCCUUAUUCAGAAGUUGGAGAAUAAAAUUUGCACAUCCUUGCCUAGAUGUUCUUAGCAUGCUGAAUUUCCUCCCUACACCCAAUGCUUUGAAUGGAUGACCAAAGAAUCUUUGUUACAUAAAACAGGAUGGAGCAACUAGAAAAAUGGAACCGUACUGUAAAAUUUACAGAUUGCUUUGUAAAUCUGAGACUUUCAACAGCCUCUGUAGCUGUCUCAGAGAAUGUAUAAAAAGCAGGAAGUUUGCCUUUUUGCUCCAUUUGCAGUGGUGCAACCAAAGCACUACAUUGGUUUAUUCAGACCAAAGUACAAGUACUGAUAUCUUCAAUUCAUGCUUGAAAGAAUUUCUCUGAGUUUUCUUAUUUAUGCUAAUAAAUACUUUCAGUGAGGUGUUAACAAAAGGUGAAGUAGAAAAGUUACUGUCUCUAGUAAAUAAGAGAUAUAGAUAAAUAUCCCAUUUUCCACCCUCAAAGUGAAGGGUUGGCUGGUGGUGAAUUCUGAAGAAUUUUCACGUGCUAUAGAAUCAUAUUCUUUCUUAAUCCUUGAUUUUUGUAUCUAGAGCAUGAAUUACUUCUGGUUUCUGAACCUGUCUUUUGAAGGUAUGUUGUAGGUUUCCCUUGUAGAUCAGGAUGCAGAUAACAGGGAUAGAAAAAUAAUUUGUGCAAAUUAAUUCUCCAGCCAGGACUGCAUGUCCUACAUUAAUUGAAAGAGUCAUUUGUGGUUUGCAGCGGUGUUUGAUUUCACCUAUUAUGAGAGACCUUUAGGUGCAGGGCUGCUGCAUGACAUUCAGGGCUGUUGGACCCAUCAGUUUUCAUUGUUCCCGUGAUCAUAGUUCCCCUGACAGGAAAAUUAAAGGUGCAGUCCCUGAGGUUCAUACCAGUAAAUUCUCAGGUUCCUCUGAGAGGAAGGAAGGACUGGUAGAGGGUAAUGACUUUGUCAAUCUCCUUGUGGUAUUUACUUGUCUGACCUUAGUAACUGGAAAAACCUUGAGAUCUGCUGGUAAGUGGCGAAAUUAAAUGUUAUUGACCAGAAUGAGAAGUUAAUAUAACUACAUUUUGGAAGAUAUUAUUGGACUAUAUGUUAUUUUUGCAUUCAGAAAAGUAUAUGACUUUUAAUUAAUUAUUAAAAGCAAUUCAUGUAUUUUUUUUCCCCUCUGCAGUUCCCUCAUAAAGUCUUUAAUCUAUUCUUUACAGUUACAAAUAACUGCUAGUCUUCUGGAAAAUAUUUUUCAUUUAUUUCUAGGAACAUGUACAUAUUAGCCUCUUUCUCUUAAGAUAAAUGUAUGAAUUUCUGCCAAAAUAUUUUAUUUAUAUGUCUUAUCAUGAAAGUUUUUAAUGAGGUUCAGGAAUAAAAUGAAGUAAUCAUACAGCACUGGGAAAUAUUAUAGUGAGUCUAGGAGCAACAGCCAGAGAAAAUUUUUAAUGUGCCAUUAAGUAGUAAACUCACAGCUGCAUGAUAGUGUCUAAGUAACUGUUGAGCAUAAUCAUUUAAAUAUAUGUCCAGAAUAAAAGAAAA